UNAAAGAGAUAGGAGUUGAACCUACGUCUAAGGGAUC
This 37-nucleotide transfer RNA is filed under the name Polypedates leucomystax (Java whipping frog). RNAcentral describes it as "partial tRNA-Gln". Lineage: Eukaryota; Metazoa; Chordata; Amphibia; Anura; Rhacophoridae. The record is from RNAcentral.